This 460-nucleotide ribosomal RNA is filed under the name uncultured bacterium. RNAcentral describes it as "partial 16S ribosomal RNA". It matches the Rfam family "Bacterial small subunit ribosomal RNA", at positions 338 to 795 of the family's 1533-position model. The record is from RNAcentral.
CCUACGGGUGGCAGCAGUGGGGAAUAUUGGUCAAUGGACGAGAGUCUGAACCAGCCACGUAGCGUGAAGGAUGACUGCCCUAUGGGUUGUAAACUUCUUUUAUAUGGGAAUAAAAUGUUCCACGUGUGGGAUUUUGUAUGUACCAUAUGAAUAAUGAUCGGCUAACUCCGUGCCAGCAGCAGCGGUAAUACGGAGGUUCCGAGCGUUAUCCGGAUUUAUUGGGUUUAAGGGGAGCGUAGGCGGAUGGUUAAGUCAGUUGUGAAAGUUUGCGGCUCAACCGUAAAAUUGCAGUUGAAACUGGCAGUCUGGAGUACAGUAGAGGUGGGUGGAAUUCGUGGUGUAGCGGUGAAAUGCGUAGAUAUCACGAAGAACUCCGAUGGCGAAGGCAGCUCACUGGACUGCAACUGACACUGAGGCUCGAAAGUGUGGGUAUCAAACAGGAUUAGAUACCCUUGUAGUC